Molecule: long non-coding RNA, 958 nt
Organism: Stylophora pistillata
Lineage: Eukaryota; Metazoa; Cnidaria; Anthozoa; Scleractinia; Pocilloporidae
Source: RefSeq, a predicted model, not a curated record
AGGACAAGAACCCAGAAUCGACUUGCAAGCUAAGAGCUAAAAUUGCCAAAUUAUCAAGAAGGACAUUACACAAAGCUACAAUCAAUGGUGGACACGAUCUUGUCAAAAUACUUCUUGAAAGUGGCGAAGAUGUGAACCAGAUGGACGAGUUUGGUUUGACGCCUCUUCACCUUGCUGCAUGGUAUGGAAAGAGAGCUGUUGUAGAACUCUUGUUACAGCACGGGGCAAAUGUAAACGCCGUAGAUAGAUUUCAGAAAACACCUCUACAAAAAGCUGAACGCAACAAUCACCAAUCCAUAGUUGAGCUACUCCUAAGGAAUAAUGCCAGUCCCUCUUACAACCAACCGGUAUGGUCCGAAUAGUAUUCUACUUCCAUGAUUUUGAAUUAAAAGAAACAUCUUUUCAUGAACAGAGGAGGAUCGCGCUAAUUCAAUGAGCUUCAACAAAUGCUUCUUUUCGUGCAGUCAUUACGAGUCUGCAAUUGAUAGUUUUCAUGUUUUGGUGCAUGACUUCGUUGUAAUGGUCUUCGUGUCUUUUUCCAUCACUACCGACUAGCUGUGCAUAAGAUCUGUUCUAUACAUGUGCGUCUUGUGCCCGCAAUAAAGCGUUUUUUCUUUGUAAUUCUCAACUAAUUUACCAGACAGCACAAGUUCGCAAAAUGAGCCUCCGUAAAUAUGGAAGUAUGUUUACGUUGCGCAAUGGCUGAAUGAUAAGGAUUUGUAUGGGAAUAAACAGUCGUGCUCUUGAACUAAAAAUCUGGACAAAAAAUCUUCUCCUAAGUGGUUGAUCUUUUGAGAAGACACAAGUGCUUUGCACUGCAAGUAUUAAGCCCGCUGGGCUUGUCUCUUUCGGGUGUGGUAAUCCUGUAGUCAAUCUCAUUAAAUAUGUCAUGGGCCAACGAGUCUGCCUUUUGUCGAACGUCGAGGAUCGAGGGUUAUAAGUCGAGGGUGAGGGUAAU